Molecule: ribosomal RNA, 404 nt
Filed under: uncultured Oscillospiraceae bacterium
Lineage: Bacteria; Bacillati; Bacillota; Clostridia; Eubacteriales; Oscillospiraceae
Description: bacterial SSU rRNA
Rfam family: Bacterial small subunit ribosomal RNA
Source: RNAcentral
GGGGAAUAUUGGACAAUGGGCGCAAGCCUGAUCCAGCCAUGCCGCGUGAGUGAUGAAGGCCUUAGGGUUGUAAAGCUCUUUUAACAGGGACGAAGCAAGUGACGGUACCUGUUGAAUAAGCCACGGCUAACUACGUGCCAGCAGCCGCGGUAAUACGUAGGUGGCAAGCGUUAUCCGGAUUUACUGGGUGUAAAGGGCGUGUAGGCGGGACUGCAAGUCAGAUGUGAAAACUAUGGGCUCAACCCAUAGCCUGCAUUUGAAACUGUAGUUCUUGAGUGUCGGAGAGGCAAUCGGAAUUCCGUGUGUAGCGGUGAAAUGCGUAGAUAUACGGAGGAACAUCAGUGGCGAAGGCGACUGCCUGGGCCAACACUGACACUGAGGCACGAAAGCGUGGGGAGCAAACA